AUGACAUCUAGAGAAAUGAAACCUCCUUUCCAUGACAUAAAGCAGGGGAGUUGCCUGAAGUACGUUUGCAAACCUAAAAACACCCCAAACACAUCUUUCAUCACCACCUGGAAGCCUAGAGUGUGAAGAGAAACAGAAAGCAAGUAUUAUUCCCUGAGAGGCCGGGCUCACCCUGAUGCCUGCAGAGAGAACCUGCUGUGACCUCCCUGCCUGCUGGGCAGAGGAGAAACCUGAAGCCCUGAGCCGGGCACAGAAGACCAUGUGGAGCAGGCACUUUGCACAACUGUCUUUGGUGGAGAAUGCUGGUGUGGUCACUCUGUGGGGCCCUGCCCACUGCUCUGCUUCUUACUGCUCUGAGGCGGGGGAAUUAAUUAAAAGAAUUGGAAUCUUUCUAGGAUAUCUGGAAUCUGCCUGAAAGUGAGGAGGCUAAAUAGGCAGUUUUAAGAAUUUACCUGGGAAGCAAGGAAGAAUACUGACCAGCAAGUCCAAGCUG
Manis pentadactyla (Chinese pangolin) is the source of this 493-nucleotide long non-coding RNA. RefSeq lists it as uncharacterized. NCBI's taxonomy places the organism in Eukaryota, Metazoa, Chordata, Mammalia, Pholidota, Manidae. The transcript is spliced from 3 exons. The record is from RefSeq and is a predicted model, not a curated record.